CAAUAGCGUAUAUUAAAGUUGUUGCAGUUAAAAAGCUCGUAGUUGGAUUUCUGGUAGGAGUGACCGUUCCGAACUUGAUUGUUCGUGUAUUGUGUUUUCUCCAGCCAUCCUUGUGGAGAACUUUUCUUGCAUUAAUUUGUAGGGAUUGGGACCCGCAUCGUUUACCGUGAAAAAAUUAGAGUGUUUAAAGCAGGCAAUCGCUUGAAUACAUUAGCAUGGAAUAAUAAGAUAGGACUUUGGUACUAUUUUGUUGGUUUGCAUACCAAAUUAAUGAUCAACAGGAACAGUUUGAGGAUAUUCGUAUGAACAUGUCAGAGGUGAAAUUCUUGGAUUUUGAUCAGACGAACUACUGCGAAAGCAUUUAUCAAGGAUGUUUUCAUUAA
Molecule: ribosomal RNA, 383 nt
Filed under: uncultured eukaryote
Lineage: Eukaryota
Description: partial 18S ribosomal RNA
Rfam family: Eukaryotic small subunit ribosomal RNA
Source: RNAcentral